This is a long non-coding RNA of Homo sapiens (human), 3038 nucleotides long. The record is from Ensembl. Lineage: Eukaryota; Metazoa; Chordata; Mammalia; Primates; Hominidae.
AGUGCAUUUACUGUGGCAUGCUGUUGGCCCCAUGCACUUCCCCCUUUCCCCCAUAGAUCUCGGCAGUGCCUUCUGCUUUGGUCCUGACAGGGUUCUGCAGGAUAUACACGAAGUAUGGCACCAACAUCUGCUUCUGGUGAAGGCUUCAUGAAGCUUCCACCCAUGACAGAAGGCGAAGAACUGUUGCCAGCAUCAUGCUACAAGCCUGAAGGGAAGGUCUACUGACAGAGAAGGACAGAGACCAGGGAAACACAGAAAAGGAGAGACAAAGCCUUGACAUACCAAACCAGUGCCUGGCCUACCUAUGGACUUCUCAGGACAAGGAUGGAGCUGGAGGCCAUUUUCCAUAGCAAACAACACAGGAACAGAAGACCAAAUACCGGAGGGUUCCAAGAUGACCAAAUAGGAACAGCUCCAGUCUACAGCUCCCAGUGUGAGCGACGCAGAAGACGGGUGAUUUCUGCAUUUCCAACUGAGCUUUGAAGAGAGUAGUGGUUCUCCCAGCACAGAGUUUGAGAUCUGAGAACGGACAGACUGCCUCCUCAAGUGGGUCCCUGACCCCUGAGUAGCCUAACUGGGAAGCACCCCCCAGUAGGGGCAGACUGACACCUCACACGGCCGGGUACCCCUCUGAGAUGAAGCUUCCAGAGGAAUGAUCACGCAGCAACAUUUGCUGUUCAGCAAUAUUCGCUGUUCUGCAGCCUAUGCUGCUGAUACCCAAGCAAACAAGGUCUGGAAUGGACCUCCAGCAAACUCCAACAGACCUGCAGCUGAGGGUCUUGACUGUUAGAAGGAAAACUAACAAACAGAAAGGAUAUCCACACCAAAACCCCAUCUAUACAUCACCAUCAUCAAAGACCAAAGGUAGAUAAAACCACAAAGAUGGGGAAAAAACAGAGCAGAAAAGCUGAAAAUUCUAAAAAUCAGAGCACCUCACCCCCUCCAAAGGAAUGCAGCUCCUUGCCAGCAAUGGAACAAAGCUGGAUGGAGAGUGACUUUGACGAGUUGAGAGAAGAAGGCUUCAGAGGAUCAAACUUCUCCGAGCUAAAGGAGGAAGUUCGAACCCAAUGAAAAUAAGCUAAAAACCUUGAAAAAAGAUUAGACGAAUGGCUAACUAGAAUGACCAGCAUAGAGAAGUCCUUAAAUGACUUGAUGGAGCUGAAAACCAUGGCAGGAGAACUACACGACGAAUGCACAAGCUUCAGUAGCUGAUUCGAUCAACUGGAAGAAAGGGUAUCAGUGAUUGAAGGUCAAAUUAAUGAAAUGAAACAAGAAGAGAAGUUUAGAGAAAAAAGAGUAAAAAGAAAUGAACAAAGCUUCCAAGAAAUAUGAGACUGUAUGAAAAGACCGAAUCUACGUCUGAUUGGUGUACCUGAAAGUGAGGGGGAGAAUGGAACCAAGUUGGAAAACACUCUGCAGGAUAUUAUCCAGGAGAACUUCCCCAAACUAGCAAGGCAGGCCAACAUUCAAAUUCAGGAAAUACAGGGAAUGCCACAAAGAUACUCCUCGAGAAGAGCAACUCCAAGACACUUAAUUGUCAGAUUCACCAAAGUUGAAAUGAAGGAAAAAAUGUUAAGGGCAGCCAGAGAGAAAGGUCGGGUUACCCACAAAGGGAAACCCAUCAGACUAACAGCUGAUAUCUCUGCAGAAACUCUACAAGCCACAAGAGAGUGGGGGCCAAUAUUCAACAUUCUUCAAGAAAAGAAUUUUCAACCCAGAAUCUCAUAUCCAGUCAAACUAAGCUUCAUAAGUGUAGGAGAAAUAAAAUACUUUACAGACAAGCAAAUGCUGAGAGAUUUUGUCACCACCAGGCCUGCCCUAAAAGAGCUCCUGAAGGAAGCACUAAACAUGGAAAGGAACAACCAGUACCAGUCACUGCAAAAACAUGACAAAUUAUAAAGACCAUCGAGGCUAGGAAGAAACUGCAUCAACUAAUGGGCAAAAUAACCAGCUAACAUCAUAAUGACAGGAUCAAAUUCACACAUAACAAUAUUAAACUUAAAUGUAAAUGGGCUAAAUGCUCCAAUUAAAAGACACAGACUGUCAAAUUGGAUAGAGUCAAGACCCAUCAGUGUGCUGUAUUCAGGAGACCUAUCUUACAUGCAGAGACACACAUAAGCUCAAAAUAAAGGGAUGGAGGAAGAUCUACCAAGCAAAUAGAAAACAAAAAAAGGCAGGAGUUGCAAUCCUAGUCUCUGAUAAAACGACUGUAAACCAACAAAGAUCAAAAGAGACAAAGAAGGCCAUUACAUAAUGGUAAAGGGAUCAAUUCAACAAGAACAGCUAACUAUCCUAAAUAUAUAUGCACCCAAUACAGGAGCACCUAGAUUCAUAAAGCAAGUCUUUAGAGAUCUACAAAGAGACUUAGACUCCCACACAAUAAUAAUGGGAUAUUUUAACACCCCCCGUCAACAUUAGACAGAUCAAUGAGACAGAAAGUUAACAAGGAUAUCCAGGAAUUGAACUCAGCUCUGCACCAAGCGGACUUAAUAGACAGCUACAGAACUCUCCACCCCAAAUCAACAGAAUAUACAUUCUUCUCAGCACCACAUCACACUUAUUACAAAAUUCACCACAUGGUUGGAAGUAAAGCACUCCUCAGCAAAUGUAAAAGAUGAGAAAUUAUAACAAAGUGUCUCUCAGACCACAGUGCAAUCAAACUAGAACUCAGGAUUAAGAAACUCACUCAAAACCGCACAACUACAUGGAAACUGAACAACCUGCUCCUGAAUGACUACUGGGUACAUAAUGAAAUGAAGGCAGAAAUAAAGAGGUUCUUUGAAACCAAUGAGAACAAAGACACAACAUACCAGAAUCUCUGGGACACAUUCAAAGCAGUGUGUAGAGUGAAAUUUAUAGAACUAAAUGCCCACAAGAGAAAGCAGGAAAGAUCUAAAAUUGAUACCAUAACAUCACAAUUAAAAGAACUAGAGAAGCAAGAGCAAACACAUUCAAAAGCUAGCAGAAGGCAAGAAAUAACUAAGAUCAGAGCAGAACUGAAGGAGUUAGAGACACAAAGAACCCUUCAAAAAAAUCAA